RNAcentral lists this unclassified non-coding RNA (253 nucleotides) under uncultured Flavobacteriaceae bacterium. RNAcentral describes it as "contains 16S-23S intergenic spacer region". It matches the Rfam family "Bacterial small subunit ribosomal RNA", at positions 524 to 776 of the family's 1533-position model. Lineage: Bacteria; Pseudomonadati; Bacteroidota; Flavobacteriia; Flavobacteriales; Flavobacteriaceae. The record is from RNAcentral.
UACGGAGGAUCCGAGCGUUAUCCGGAAUCAUUGGGUUUAAAGGGUCCGUAGGUGGGCGGUUAAGUCAGGGGUGAAAUCCCGCAGCUCAACUGUGGAAUUGCCCUUGAUACUGGCCGUCUUGAGUCGUUGUGAAGUGGUUGGAAUAUGUAGUGUAGCGGUGAAAUGCAUAGAUAUUACAUAGAACACCGAUUGCGAAGGCAGGCCACUAACAACGUACUGACACUGAUGGACGAAAGCGUGGGGAGCGAACAGG